RNAcentral lists this non-coding RNA (24 nucleotides) under Arabidopsis thaliana (thale cress). Lineage: Eukaryota; Viridiplantae; Streptophyta; Magnoliopsida; Brassicales; Brassicaceae. The record is from RNAcentral.
GCAUACGGUGUUAUAUCAUUUUUG